This is a non-coding RNA of Manis javanica (Malayan pangolin), 312 nucleotides long. Lineage: Eukaryota; Metazoa; Chordata; Mammalia; Pholidota; Manidae. The record is from RefSeq and is a predicted model, not a curated record.
AAAAGAUUCAGCCUUUGUUCAAGUUUUGAAUCCCUAGAAAGCUUCACCAAGAAUAUCCAUUGAGUUCAACAAAUGUUUACAUACAAUGAUGUCAACUCCAGUUUCCAGAGCCAAAAUUGGGAAGCCUAAAGACUUGGAGGCAGAGUCAUCCAGCACAUGAAGAAUGUGGCCACCAUAUGGAGAUCAGCUUGUGGAAAGGGGAUUCGCAUCAUUUGCAGGUCCAUUUGUCCCUCGGUUCAUUUUUAAUGACACUCACAUACAGACCAGAUCUACUCAAAUAUCACAGCUCUGUAGGAACAAACUCUAUCCAAC